GGUUCCAUAGUGUAAUGGUUAGCAUGUCUGCUUUACACGCAGAAAGUCCUGGGUUCAUACCCCAGUGGAGCCA
Molecule: transfer RNA, 73 nt
Filed under: Pteropus alecto (black flying fox)
Lineage: Eukaryota; Metazoa; Chordata; Mammalia; Chiroptera; Pteropodidae
Rfam family: tRNA
About the family: Transfer RNA (tRNA) molecules are approximately 80 nucleotides in length. Their secondary structure includes four short double-helical elements and three loops (D, anti-codon, and T loops).
Source: Rfam by way of RNAcentral